This 253-nucleotide ribosomal RNA is filed under the name uncultured bacterium. RNAcentral describes it as "partial 16S ribosomal RNA". It matches the Rfam family "Bacterial small subunit ribosomal RNA", at positions 524 to 776 of the family's 1533-position model. The record is from RNAcentral.
UACGUAGGUGGCAAGCGUUAUCCGGAUUUAUUGGGCGUAAAGCGAGCGCAGGCGGUCUUUUAAGUCUAAUGUGAAAGCCUUCGGCUCAACCGAAGAAGUGCAUUGGAAACUGGGAGACUUGAGUGCAGAAGAGGACAGUGGAACUCCAUGUGUAGCGGUGAAAUGCGUAGAUAUAUGGAAGAACACCAGUGGCGAAGGCGGCUGUCUGGUUUGUAACUGACGCUGAGGCUCGAAAGCAUGGGUAGCGAACAGG